AUGCAUGAGUCUUUGACUUAGGCAAGUGCUUAUACUUCAUUUCUAUUUUUCAUUUCUUUUCAGUUUUUUUCGGUAGAAGUGGAUGUUUCUACACACUUCUUUCUUUUCUUUUGUUUGCACUUUCCCUUUUUCAAAAUUUCUUCUAAGGAUCACCACCCCAAACUUAUCUUUUUGCACAAAUUUUACACUACAACAGUCAUGCCGAGCGAGGGUAGGAAGUGUUUGGCUUAUGGUUAACAUG
Molecule: long non-coding RNA, 241 nt
Filed under: Lathyrus oleraceus (garden pea)
Lineage: Eukaryota; Viridiplantae; Streptophyta; Magnoliopsida; Fabales; Fabaceae
Description: Pisum sativum (pea) long non-coding RNA (PSAT_LNC011158)
Source: RNAcentral